Acanthosepion pharaonis is the source of this 113-nucleotide non-coding RNA. The record is from the annotation of a GenBank genome assembly. NCBI's taxonomy places the organism in Eukaryota, Metazoa, Mollusca, Cephalopoda, Sepiida, Sepiidae.
UAUGGUCAUAUCACAUUGAAACAUUGGUUCCCAUACAAUCACUGAAGUUAAGCAAUGCCAAGCCUGAUCAGUACCUAGAUGGUUGAUCAUUUGGGAAUACCAGGUACUGUAAG